UACGUAGGGGGCUAGCGUUGUCCGGAAUCAUUGGGCGUAAAGAGCGUGUAGGCGGUCCGGUAAGUCCGCUGUGAAAGUCGGGGGCUCAACCCUCGAAUGCCGGUGGAUACUGUCGGGCUAGAGUGCGGAAGAGGCGAGUGGAAUUCCGGGUGUAGCGGUGGAAUGCGUAGAGAUCCGGAAGAACACCGGUGGCGAAGGCGGCCUGCUGGGCGGCGACUGACGCUGAGGCGCGACAGCGUGGGGAGCAAACAGG
RNAcentral lists this ribosomal RNA (253 nucleotides) under uncultured bacterium. Its description in RNAcentral is "partial 16S ribosomal RNA". It matches the Rfam family "Bacterial small subunit ribosomal RNA", at positions 524 to 776 of the family's 1533-position model. The record is from RNAcentral.